This 460-nucleotide unclassified non-coding RNA is filed under the name Hevea brasiliensis (rubber tree). Lineage: Eukaryota; Viridiplantae; Streptophyta; Magnoliopsida; Malpighiales; Euphorbiaceae. The record is from RNAcentral.
UCCGGCUCAACAUUCUUGGAAAACAAUCGAAUCGAGGGUUCAGAGGAGAAUUGGCCAUUCAAUCUUGUAAACUAAUCGAGACCAAAAUUGGAAAAAGAGAUACAAACAGAAAGAAAUAACCAAUCAAUAAAAGAACAUGAAACCAUUCUGUUUCAAUAGAGGUACAAAAAACGGUUAGGGGCAAUAAAGUAGGUAAAGUGGUUAAAUUUUGCAAGCUGUUCCAACCACUGCUGGAUGUGAUUCCAAGAGCCGAACAAGAAUGAAUACCACACAGAAGAGUCAAGACCAGGCUCCCUAAUGGAAUGUUUAACCAAUCCAUUCCGGAUCGACCGAAUUGGUACAGAAGUUGUAACAUGGGAAAACCACAGAAAACACAACUUAUUUGAAUAACCCAGUGACCUACCAAUUGUAGAAGUAGGAUCUUUGGCAAGCAAUAAGCACUUAAAUAAUACAAUUCGAG